GAAAUGCGAUAAGUAGUGUGAAUUGCAGAAUUCAGUGAAUCAUCGAAUCUUUGAACGCACAUUGCGCCCCUUGGUAUUCCAUGGGGCAUGCCUGUUCGAGCGUCAUUUGUACCCUCAAGCUCUGCUGGGUGUUGGGUGUUUGUCCCCGUCUCCGCGCGUGGACUCGCCCCAAAGUGAUUGGCAGCCGGCGUUCUGGUCCCGGAGCGCAGCACAUGUCGCGCAAACGAGUGCCUUGGUACGGCGGCGUCCAUAAGCCCCUCUCUCACGCUCUUGACCUCGGAUCAGGUAGGGAUACCCGCUGAACUUAAGC
This 310-nucleotide unclassified non-coding RNA is filed under the name plant metagenome. RNAcentral's name for it is "partial contains 5.8S ribosomal RNA, internal transcribed spacer 2, and large subunit ribosomal RNA". The stretch from base 1 to 105 matches the Rfam family "5.8S ribosomal RNA", at positions 50 to 154 of the family's 154-position model. The record is from RNAcentral.